AUUGAACGCUGGCGGCAGGCUUAACACAUGCAAGUCGAGCGCCCCGCAAGGGGAGCGGCGGACGGGUGAGUAACGCGUGGGAAUUUUCCUCAAGGUACGGAACAACUCAGGGAAACUUGGGCUAAUACCGUAUGAUGUCUAGCGACCAAAGAUUUAUCGCCUUGGGAUAAGCCCGCGUCAGAUUAGGUAGUUGGUGGGAUAACGGCCUACCAAGCCUGCGAUCUGUAGCUGGUCUGAGAGGACGAUCAGCCACAUUGGGACUGAGACACGGCCCAAACUCCUACGGGAGGCAGCAGUGGGGAAUCUUGCGCAAUGGGCGAAAGCCUGACGCAGCCAUGCCGCGUGAAUGAUGAAGGUCUUAGGAUUGUAAAGUUCUUUCGCCCGUGACGAUGAUGACGGUAACGGGAGAAGAAGCCCCGGCUAACUUCGUGCCAGCAGCCGCAGUAA
RNAcentral lists this ribosomal RNA (447 nucleotides) under uncultured bacterium. RNAcentral's name for it is "partial 16S ribosomal RNA". It matches the Rfam family "Bacterial small subunit ribosomal RNA", at positions 30 to 523 of the family's 1533-position model. The record is from RNAcentral.